Pelobates cultripes (western spadefoot toad) is the source of this 1535-nucleotide non-coding RNA. NCBI's taxonomy places the organism in Eukaryota, Metazoa, Chordata, Amphibia, Anura, Pelobatidae. The record is from the annotation of a GenBank genome assembly.
UUGAUUUCAUUAAAUGUUUAUUUUUUUUCCAGAAAAAUAUUAGAAAAUUAUAGAAAUUUAUAGAUUACAGUAGAAAAUAUUUGCUUUGCAUGUAUAUAUUAAACCAACACCCUUAAUUUACGCAAAUUGUAAAAAAAAAAGGCCACUCAUACAAUACUGAAACAUGCCAGCAGUGAGACAAUCUUACUAUAGGGCUUAGAGAGAACCAUGUCAUACAUUCUGUAAAGUUACAAUUUAACGAAAUGAGAAAGAUUUACUAAAUUUAAAGUAAGCAUGUUGGUUUCCUGCUGCCCAGAUCGAAUACUAUAAAUUACACAUAGACCCAAGAUAACCCAGCAAUAAAUGAGAUAAGAUGUGUUUUCAUGUGCAAAGGAAUACAAGUUCAGGGUAAAAGUUUCAAAGUGGAGCAACUCGAAGGAACAUUCCAAUGGUUCCUUUGGUGAUUAUUCCACCUUUAGAACUUUGCCAGACAUUUCUAAGGAGCAGGUGCAGGCUCCACGGCUCUCAUAAAAUAGUGGUGGACAGAAAGAUGGAAAAACAACUUUCAUGACAACAGCAAUAAAUCAUCAUUAAAUCCAGUACAUAUCAAGAUGGCGGAACCAGGGCAGCACAAGACAAUGUAACUAAACAUGUUCCUGAGUGGCAUUAUGUGAUAUAGAAGCAGGUGAUUUACACCGUCUGACAAUGCAUGCAGUAUUAGAGGAUAUGGUUUAACAAUCUCUAGAGUUGCUCAAGAAGUUAGAUGUACCACAAGUCUGGAUAUGAGUUGCAGUCUGUCACAUGGAGCUUGAAUUUUAAAUAAAGGAAACGUGGUCAUAAUUCACGUAAAUGGGGGAUGGGACAAUAGGCUAUUCAAUGGCUGUAAGUUGAAUUUGCCAUAUGUUCAAUAAGCGACAUAUAAUCAUCUAGCGGCACUAUCAUACAUACCAAAAUUAGCCAUACAACUGUACCAAUUAACCCAAAAUAAGAAUUUUCACAGGGGUAAGCCAUCUGGUUGUGCCAUGUGUUUAUUUAUAUGUAGCAGUAAUACAUCUGUUAGAGUGGUGUGUAGGGUUUUUAAUGCAUGCAUACAUGCUGCCAUAUGCAAACAUCUUACUAUCCAAUCAUCGGCACAGUGAGGGGCAUUCUCUUCUACUGAUUACUACGCAUUAGUAAAAAGUAACCUACUCAUGCAGGGUAGUGAUGUCUAGUUGUGCCACACUAUAUGUAAAAACUGUUCUGCUUAAAGGCACGACUAAAGUUUAUCUGAACAUGUGACAGCUUGACAGUUAAAUAUUGAAUGACAAAAUGAAAGUGAUAAACAAUAUGCAAAAUUUCUAUGAUUAUGCCCAAAAAUGCCCCCCUCCAGGCACCAUGACCACUUCAAAACACUAAAAUGGUCAUGGUGCUUGGAGUAGCCCUUUAAUGUUAACAUAUACACUAUUAUAUCUUGCAUACAGUGCAAAAUUCCUUUGCCAACAAUUAAAAGAAAAAUCCCUACUUUGUAGUAUUCUUAAUUUAUUUUUCCAUUACUAUUCAAACUAUAGCACACAAAA